GCUGCUGUAACCCAAUUGGAAGAGGUGCUGGUCUUAGAAACCAGUUGUUGUGGGUUCGACUCCCACCAGCAGUA
Molecule: transfer RNA, 74 nt
Filed under: Leptolyngbyaceae cyanobacterium MO_188.B28
Lineage: Bacteria; Bacillati; Cyanobacteriota; Cyanophyceae; Leptolyngbyales; Leptolyngbyaceae
Also listed under: 1 other name
Description: tRNA-Leu
Rfam family: tRNA
About the family: Transfer RNA (tRNA) molecules are approximately 80 nucleotides in length. Their secondary structure includes four short double-helical elements and three loops (D, anti-codon, and T loops).
Source: RNAcentral